GAACGGGUGAGUAACACGUGGGCAAUCUGCCCUGCACUCUGGGACAAGCCCUGGAAACGGGGUCUAAUACCGGAUAAUACUCUGUCCCGCAUGGGAUGGGGUUGAAAGCUCCGGCGGUGCAGGAUGAGCCCGCGGCCUAUCAGCUUGUUGGUGGGGUGAUGGCCUACCAAGGCGACGACGGGUAGCCGGCCUGAGAGGGCGACCGGCCACACUGGGACUGAGACACGGCCCAGACUCCUACGGGAGGCAGCAGUGGGGAAUAUUGCACAAUGGGCGAAAGCCUGAUGCAGCGACGCCGCGUGAGGGAUGACGGCCUUCGGGUUGUAAACCUCUUUCAGCAGGGAAGAAGCGCAAGUGACGGUACCUGCAGAAGAAGCGCCGGCUAACUACGUGCCAGCAGCCGCGGUAAUACGUAGGGCGCAAGCGUUGUCCGGAAUUAUUGGGCGUAAAGAGCUCGUAGGCGGCUUGUCACGUCGGUUGUGAAAGCCCGGGGCUUAACCCCGGGUCUGCAGUCGAUACGGGCAGGCUAGAGUGUGGUAGGGGAGAUCGGAAUUCCUGGUGUAGCGGUGAAAUGCGCAGAUAUCAGGAGGAACACCGGUGGCGAAGGCGGAUCUCUGGGCCAUUACUGACGCUGAGGAGCGAAAGCGUGGGGAGCGAACAGGAUUAGAUACCCUGGUAGUCCACGCCGUAAACGUUGGGAACUAGGUGUUGGCGACAUUCCACGUCGUCGGUGCCGCAGCUAACGCAUUAAGUUCCCCGCCUGGGGAGUACGGCCGCAAGGCUAAAACUCAAAGGAAUUGACGGG
Molecule: ribosomal RNA, 805 nt
Filed under: Streptomyces sp.
Lineage: Bacteria; Bacillati; Actinomycetota; Actinomycetes; Kitasatosporales; Streptomycetaceae
Description: bacterial SSU rRNA
Rfam family: Bacterial small subunit ribosomal RNA
Source: RNAcentral